This 9018-nucleotide long non-coding RNA is filed under the name Hordeum vulgare. RNAcentral's name for it is "long non-coding RNA (HVUL_LNC020242)". The record is from RNAcentral. Lineage: Eukaryota; Viridiplantae; Streptophyta; Magnoliopsida; Poales; Poaceae.
UCCAAAAACCCUGUGGGAAAAAUAUGAGGAGAAUAGUGUAGAUAUGUUGCUAAAACUCUUUUAAACCCCUUGAGAAAAAUAAGGAAAAAAUGAUACAACAUAUAAUGAUUAUUGUCUCGUGAUAACUCAUUUGAGAAACCUUUGUAGAAGGAGAAAACUCAUCUUUGAGUUUAGAGAACAAUAAUUAUGUCUUGAGUACUCCCUUUAAAAACCCUGAUAGGGAAAAUAGAAAGUAUAACAUAUGAUCUUUGAGAAGAUAUUGCCUCAUUAAAAACCAUUAUGAGAAACUUUUGAGAGAAAAACUCAUAAGGAAAAAGAGUGCAUUUGACAUGCCAUUGAAAACUCCUUUAAAACCCGGUGGAAAAAUAUAAGGAGAAAAUGAUAUGGCAUAUACAAACACUUGUGUUUAUAUUGUCUCGUUAAAAACCUUUUAUGAGAAACCAUUAGGGGAAAACUCAUCAAGGGAAAAAGAGUACAAUAUAUGCAAUCUGAUGAUUGUUAAUAGGUUAUAGUUUGGGAGAUUACCCCCCCCCNNNNNNNNNNNNNNNNNNNNNNNNNNNNNNNNNNNNNNNNNNNNNNNNNNNNNNNNNNNNNNNNNNNNNNNNNNNNNNNNNNNNNNNNNNNNNNNNNNNNNNNNNNNNNNNNNNNNNNNNNNNNNNNNNNNNNNNNNNNNNNNNNNNNNNNNNNNNUUCCCCCCCCCCCCCCCCCCGAACUUUGCAAAUAUGGAGGAUGUCUCAUACCAAUUUCAUUGACAUGAACAUAAGAUUGUGUAUAAUCUGUUGGAUUUUCACAUGAUUUUGUUUGCAAAUUAUUUCCUCACUUUUCUAUAAUCCAUGAGGAUAAGUAGUUUCCGAGCAAUGUGAUUUAUGAUAUUGCUCUUCAUAUAACAUGUAGGUAUUGAGUAACACAAAUGGAAGUAUCUUGAUAAAUCAAGUUAUGUGAUUCUGAUAAAUCUCAACCACAUGAUUUUAAGUGUGGUUAAUCAUUCUUCCAAGCCAUGCAUAUUUCGCAAUGCUUUUAGAUAAAGCAAUUAUGUCAGAAUGAUAAGUGGGAAUAACCAUUAAAGUCCAUUUCGAUGACUUCCAUAUGGAGGCUAUUCCAACAAAUUCAGUCAUUGAUAUGGCGUCAUUGGGAUCAAAUAAAGAGCCAAUAUCAUCAUAUCCCAUCAUGGUCAUAUCUUGUAUUUCCUGAUGGAAUUGUCCAAUAUUUAUUGUAAGCUUAAGAUAUAAGAUGAUAUUCCAUAUAUCAAGCAUGUUACUUUUGUUGGGGGUUGCACUCUGAACAAACAUAGUAAAUAUGGUGUCAGGCCUGACAUAGUUUGCAAUCAUAUGAGUGCUUUGACAUUAGUGAGAUAUAGAACUUCAGGUCUUUAUGCCACUUCAUUAUCAACCCUAGGUAUGUACCUUAUCAAAGGUAGUAUGACCAUACAUGUCUUAUGUUGUUAUGAUAUAUCCACACUGAACUUCUUGUAUAUGUUUUGGAUAUAUGUAGACUGAUAUGUAUUCUUGAGAGAAUGCUCAAGUUGUAAGCUUAAGCUAAAUUUGGUUGAAUCCAAAAUUUCCGUCUUGAGAUGAUUUUGUGUAUGUUUAUGUCUUGCAGAGACACUGAUGAUGAAAUCAUCAAUAUACACUGAGGUGAUGUAAGGGAAUCAAAUUUUUGGAUUCCUUUAUUAACACAUGAACAAUCAUCAUCCUUUGAGUAAUCCUCUGAAGAAGGAACUCGUCUAUUCGGUAGUACCAUAUGAUUCACGACUAUUUCUAGUCAUAGAGUGACUUAUGAAGUUUUACACAAUACAUGUUGCGAUUUGUUUUUGGAUUCGGAAAUGAAGCCCUUCAGGGACUUUAAUAUAGAUUUCCGAAAUGAGUGACUCAUAUGAGUAUGUAGUCACUACAUCCAUUAACUGCAUGGAUAAUAUUAUUUGUACUGCCAACGGUAUUUAUUAUCGAAACAUAGUUCCACUCAUACCAAGAAGGUAUGUUACAUCGUAGUCGAUGUUGGGUCUCUGCGUGAACCCUUUUGCUACAAGCCUCGCUUUUUCACCACCUCAUUGACUUUGUCUAUUAAUGAGAAGUUUUUAGUAUUCCAUAUGGAAGAUACUUAUGAGGAGUAGGUAUUACUGUAGUAAAUACCACUCUUUGAUUGGCGAGUGCUAUUCUUCAUUACUUACUCCCUUUUAUGUGAACCAAUAUGAGUACAAGAGGCACUCUACCAUGGAUUUUGGUUCAGGGCCCAAAAGGUUUUAGCAAUCUUUAGAAGAAAUAUAUGUCGACAUAUGUAGACUUAUGUUAUAUGAUUCUAGAGGAAUCAAUGAAAUUUGUGGAAAUGUAUUUAUUCCUUUUAACUCCUUGUGAUUUCCUACAACAAUGGAGUCAAGGUGUUUCGAUGUCCCCACACCAAAACAUUUGUGCACAUUUAUGUCGGCUUUGGAUGAUGGCCAUCCACUGAGGUGUCUUUCAACUUGAUGUUGAAUUACAUUUACUGGUUGAGGAUUUGAUUUCCUCUGUUUCCGCGGAAGCAUAUGCGAGAUUAUAUCUCAUGUGGUCAGAUUUCUCCCCCUCUUGCUCUCAUUUGGGGAGAAGAGUGGUUUAUCAGGUACCUCCACUCUUUCUGACACUUUACUGCAGGAAUAUAAAUUUGAGUGACACCUUUGUCAUCAGUAAAUGUAUGUGGCAGAUUUGCAAUGAGUUGCAAAUAUAUGAUUCUAAACUUCUUGUUCAGAUUCUUUGAGUACGUGGAUAUAAGGACUGAAUGUCAAUAACAUGUCUAAUUUAUUUCUCGGCNNNNNNNNNNNNNNNNNNNNNNNNNNNNNNNNNNNNNNNNNNNNNNNNNNNNNNNNNNNNNNNNNNNNNNNNNNNNNNNNNNNNNNNNNNNNNNNNNNNNNNNNNNNNNNNNNNNNNNNNNNNNNNNNNNNNNNNNNNNNNNNNNNNNNNNNNNNCAUUCUUUUUGGUACUAAUCUCCCCCUAAUGCUGGAAAUAUCCUUAUUGUUGAUGCAAUCACAUACGGGCUGUGAAUAAUUUUGAUUGACGGAUAAAUUGUUAUUCCUCACAUAGUUCCCUAAAUUUCUGGGAGAGCCCAUUGAUGUAUGCUGGAGUAGUGAUAUCGGUAUGUAACCGAAUUAUCGCAGAUAGGAAAUACUUUGUUGAUUUUCACGUAAUUACUACAAGGGGAAAGUAGUAUUCUAUGCAGUUGGUAUGAUUUAGAUCAUACUUACGGUGUGUAAUGCCGUAUUUGUCUAGCAUGAGGCUAGUAAAUUACGAUUCUAUAAGUUUGGUCAUAUUAUUAAUUUCACUAUCUUUGAUAAGAUAUUGAACUAAACCAUUAUCUGUAUAUACAUAAAGUAUUAGGUAUAAUCAGACAUUGCUUGUGAAAUGAGUUCAACGAAGUUGUCCAUUCAAAUGGAUAUAUCCCUUGUUUAGGAUAACUAGCUUGCUCUUACUUUGAGAAUUUGACCAAUUAAUUUAGUUAUAUCAUUCAUGGUUUGUGUGACAAGAGACACACUGGAAAUCGUUUUAUAAAUGUUUCCAUGAGUACCAUGAAGUAUCUAUAUAAUACCACAUAAUGGUUGAGUAAUGCACAUAUCUUCUCAAUGUGUUCAAGGAAGAAUGAGUUGACUCAUUUAGAAUUGUAAGGUGAGAGUUCCUUAAAUUAAUUUCCCCUAUGGUACAUGUGGUGCACAUAAAAUCUGAUGAUUUGAGAAAUUUUGCAACUGUUAAGUUGUGACCAAUAGAAUUGUCAAUAAUUUUCUAAUCAUCCCCAAACUAGGAUGGCUAAGGCUAUUAAGCUUAAUAUUUAAUUUAUUAAUACUUAGAAAAUCAUUAUGUACGCAACAAUAUUGAGUAUGGAUUGAUUCAUACAUUCAAAAUUUAUCAAAUAUAAUGUCCAAUAAAUAUGAUAUUGGAGAUUACACUACAUGUAGUAGCACAAGUAUAGGCUAAUGUUAUUUUGGAAAUAAUUAGGAUAUUCCAUGAGGUCACCCAUAUUACUGAAAAAAUUAAUUAUGCAAACAUAUCAUAGGCACAAAGGAAUUGAUCAUUCUUUUAUUACACUAUAUUUUUGGUUCUCCUUCUGAUGAAGAUUUGGAAACAAUCAUUUACGAGGAUAUUUCCUGAUUGUAUGUUUGCAAAUUUUCAACUAUCCCAAUGAACUUAUUUGCUUUCUUAAUAAAUUUAUGGUAUGGUUUGACCAUAUGUUUGACGGUUUGGUAAUCAUAUGUAUUAUAUUUAUGUAACCACACAUUUGACAAAUUUAAGAGUUGUCUUUGUGAUCAUUUGAAAAUGAUCAAUUACUAAUUAAAAGGUAAUUAUGUCAUUGGUUGUAUUUAGCCUCCACUUUACUUUGAAUUCCUCAUGGUUCUAUUUUGUAACCACUGACUUUCAUAGUAUUCUCAAUGCUAGCAAAUAUUUGAAGCAAUCGUUGGGUGAAUAUGAUGAUUUUAAGAAAUAAUAUGUUUCUUUAACAUGAAAAUGGUAAUACCAUCAUAAGAAGAUGUAAAGUGUAUUGAGGGAUUUUCAACUGGAUCUUCGGAUGAAAAUAUUUGAUCAUGAGAUCUCAACUUAAAGUUGAUUGAGUGACAAAAAUGUGAGCUGCGAUAGACUUGAGGUCUUGAGAAACGAAUGGGUGAUUAUUCGCAAUGUGCUCAUGGCAACAUGUUUCUCUUAAGGGAAAUAUUCAAGAUGAAUAAAUAUUCGUCCAUUAUGUACUUAGUUUGAGAACUAAGUGAAGUUGGUGAUAGACGAAAUACAUAUAAACAUACUUAACUAUUAAGAGAAUAGCCAUGACAUAUAUUUCGAAGGUGGAGUUAUAGUGGCCACAAGUGCCGCAUGUGGAUAUAAUGACUGAUGUCAUCAAUCAUCUUACAAUAAAUACUCGCACCAAAUCAUGCAUUUACUGUAUUUGAAAAUGUCAAUCAUGCAUUACUUAAAAAUGCUAAUGCAUUUAUUUAAUUUACUUCUAGGAGUAAAAUAAAAUAUAUGGAUGAAAUGAUCUUGUUGAGCACAAUCCGCCAAUGUGAUGCUUGGUGAACAUGCGGUGUAAACCUUCAAUAUAGUGCAUGCGAUAAAAUCAUUGCUAAUGUUUUGGGCUUCAUUCGUAAGAAAAGUGUGACUUUAGAGUCACAGCCAAAACAUAGACUUUGCAAUUUUAACAUUGCUUAGUCACUAUGAAAAUAACAGCCACGAUGUGAUGUGGAUCUUGCAAUAGUGUUUGAGACACUCGCUAUAAAUUAUGGCAUCCAUCUUGAUGGAUGGAUGACACUAUAAUUAAAAAUAGUGACGCAGGCUCCAUUGCCAUGCAUUUUACGAAUGUAGUAGGAGGUAAUCAUACGUAUAUGCAAAUAUUUACGUAGUUUGCUAUUACAUAUUCAAGCAAAGUGUGCAAGAACAAUAUUUACUAUGAGAGUAAAAUAUUUUAGUGAACAACAACAAUAAAUGCUUUGGAGGAGCAAAUUCUUGUUUGGUUGAUGCCUUGUAUGUGUAGACCUCAAUUGAUAUAGAAUAACACUUUGAAGAUAAUCACCAAUAUGCUGUAGAUCUCGCAAUAAUAGAAAACAUAGUCUGACUUAUGUCAGUAGAUGUUCAUAAUUCUAUUACCUUAUGUUAUGCUAUAUUUAAGAAAAUCACUUUAAAGAUAAUCAUAUGUCAGAAUGACAUGAUGUAGACCUUGUAGUAAUAAUGGAUAGUCUGCAAAAUUUUGCAGUAGAUGCCAAUACCUUAUGAUUUCUUGAGGUAGUCACGCCAAAUAUUAAUAUUUGGAAGAGCACUUUGAAGGUAAUCAUCUUGUAAAUUUGACAAGAUGUAGACCUCACAGUAAUGAUGGAUAAUCUGCAAAUGGUGCAGUAGAUGCCACCAAUACCUUGUGAUUCACAAAUAAAAUUUGGGCUAGUCAUAUUAAGUAUGGCACUUCAUAAUUCUUGUUAGAACUUUAUUAAGAUUUGCAAAAAAAAUUAUUUCUAUUGCAAAAUCGUAGUUGUUGUCACAAAUUGCAUGUAAUGCUAGGGAGUAGAGAGAGAAGAUGUCUUAAAUUCCGAAGGAAUAUGAUCUGGAAUGUAAGCAAAACAUUCUUUUCAACAACAUUACCGGGGUAAUAUAUGUAUAUCUGGAAAAGUUAAUUUACAUACUUACACAAACAUAUGAAGACAUAAGGUCUUCAAAUGACAAUUUUUACCCAUUUCAAAAUGGUGUAUACUUGUGUGGUAUGUAAUUAGAAUGAACUAAGGGUCUGAUGUGCACAUAUUUACUGCUGAAAAUAUGUAUUGCACAUGAUGUGCAUAUCGUGAAGGUUAGAACACAAAUUUAAAGGAUCUAAUUGUGUAUGUCAGAUAACUUUAUAACCUAUAAGGGCUAUGGUGCAGAUGUCAAAGUCCAGUACUUAAUUCCCAAAAAUUCUAUGGACUAGUACUAAAAAAUGUGAAUGGAUAAGGUCUCCUUUCCAGAUCAAUCUCCCGUGUUGCUACACAUUUCAGUGGGAAAUUUUUUCAAUGCCAUGAUAGGCAGCACCGUGCGCUGAUUACAUUAGCGCCGUCGUUUGCCACGCCUGAGGGCGUCGCCGCAACAGACACCACAACCGCUCAAGGUCCGCGCGCGCUGGGGGGCUAGAUGGCUGCGUCCGUGGCUGUUGGAUCGACGUCGUUGUGUGGAGUAGGUGGCCGCGCCGGAAGGCGCUGUCGCCAUUCGGGUCAUGGCCUUAAGGUGCGCGCAGUGCUGUGCGCUAGAGCAACGUCGACUGCGGUCGUUGCUCGGACUUGAGCACGGGGCACGGCUGCGCUGCAGGGAGUCGGGCCGAGGGCCGCUCGAAGGAGCGGCGUGUGGUGGCUGUGGCCUCCGCGUCCAAAGGACUGAUGCUUCUGCCGCUUCCUCGACGAGGUUGUUGCCGCUGCAGAGAUGGCGACAAAGCAAGAGGCAGUGGCACGGCCGCUAGUUUCAGUUCAAGAAAUUAGAAAAAGACAUGGUACCUUUUCUUCCGUUUGUAUGAUUGGAUGAUUCAUUUUUGAUCGAGGCUUUCUCUGCCUUUCUUCGUUCCGGUUCAUGCUUCAACCAUCUGGCGUUGCUGCCGCUGACGACGAGCAGAAGAGUGCUGCUGCUGGUGACCGCGCCGUCGGCGGCGAGGUUGCCGCCUGCCCGUGCAGGCUGCAGGCCAUGCGUCUAGCCGGGGCGGCGUGAGUUCUUCAGCGGCGAUUAGUUGCGAUACAUGCAUCCACGGUCAUUCUUUCGCUGUGGCCUAUUCCUCUAAUCGCGAACAGAGUGCGUGAUAACGUGUUAAGAGAGGAAGAGCAAAUGAUGAAACAUUUAUCUCAUUGAUUGAAGUUUUGGGUAUAUAUAUACCCCGGUACAAAGACGGUUUACAAGGAGCAGUUGCCAAUCUAAGCAACCGGACGGUUUACAAGGAGCAGUUGCCAAUCUAAGGAACCGACAUAAGCAGGGAUUAUCUCCUAAUUAAUUUAAUUAAUUUAUUCCUAACAUAUACAACGUGCUGGUUUCUGCUGCGUAGGAUGCGUGCUCUACCACAUUAGGAAGAUGAUUUGUUUGUAAUGUACACUUUAAUGAUCUAAACGAUCUUUUACGAAGAGAGUAAUUUACUGUCAGUGAACACCUUGUAAGCAUGCUUCAAAUGUAUACAGAACUUGCUGCUGUAAUGUCUGAUCUCCCUAUGCAACUAAAUGAGCUGACAACAAUUUCCAAGAAUGACAAUUUCCCAUCUUAUUUCAUAAGCCCUUAAACUAUUUAUUGGUUAAGUUUAUGAUGAGACACGGACUAGCAAGACGCUAAUUCGCUGGUGUAGAUGGCCCGAUCUUUCACAAUGAUGCUCGAUGAAUAGUUCGUCCCCGGGUUCCUUCGAGAACCUCAAACAAUAAUGUUCGCCCGUGUAUAAAAAUACACGAACAACAAUAAUAAUCCUCUUAGAUCAGCAUGCAGUUGUCGAUAUAUUGAUCAACCCUUCGUCACAAGUAAAUUUUCACAAUAGGAAAAUCGUAGAUGAUACACACGAUCUGAUCGUCACAAACCUGAAUGUUUUAUGCAGUGGCGAAUCUAGGAUUUUAAAUUAGGGUAUUGCCGGUCAAAAAAAAUCACGCAGGAUGAGGCUCAAAUUCAUGGAUUAAGCUGAAACCAUCCACUAAAUACAAUAUAAAUAGUUCAAAAAUCAUACUGAUAAUUAGAAUAUCGGUAUUCAUGUGAACUAAAGACUCACAAUGCUAUUUUUGUGACUAUUUUAUUCGACGUUUUUGAAGGGACAUAAAUGUCUUGGUAAUAUCAUCUUCAUCAACUUAAAAGAAAAUAUCCCGCUCAAUAAAAGUGACUAGACAAUUAUCCAAAAGACUAUCUUCCAUCUUACAAAAAUAAAAUACUAAAUAAUUAAAUAAAUUACGCUUGCACAAUUGAAAUUUUCACAUGUUAUUAUGAAACACUCACAUGAUACGCAGUUUGGUACUGGGGCAAAUCCUCACUCAAGCGAUCAAGAUUUGGCCUAUUGAUCGCCUAGAUUAGGCAAGCGGUCAAGAUUAUUGAACGCCAACACCGUCGAGAUCGCGCCAAGAUCAAUAGUCCUGUGACCGUGUGGCUGAGAAACUCUGAACCUGUAAUAUCUAAUUAAACUGGCAACAACAGCGAUCAAUAAUACCUCUGAAGUCUGAACCUCUGAACAUGAGAAUCUCUGAACAUGUAACCUCUGAACCUCUGAACCGUGUGGCCGUGGGGAGCGUUGCGGGAGCCGCAGUGUUGGGGUGCAGCGCCGCCAACAGCUCGGGACCCCUCGUCGGCGAGGUCGGCAGCUCCGAUAACCCUGCAACACUCCGUCAGACGGGCCAGGCAGACCCUAAGGCUGUGGGGCUGUGGGCGUCGGACGAGGUUGAGAGGACGAGGCACACGCUGCUGAACGCAAUCGUCGUCGGCAGUCCACGCGAACGCCUGAAGUCCUGAUUCCUGAAUGCGAUAGAUGAAACCGCCGGCGCCUCGGCGGCUCGGCGUUGCCUCGAGCCCUCUAUCCAAUUGGCGUCGGACUCGGCUCCCCUCUUCAAUCGCUAGC